Molecule: long non-coding RNA, 392 nt
Filed under: Hordeum vulgare
Lineage: Eukaryota; Viridiplantae; Streptophyta; Magnoliopsida; Poales; Poaceae
Description: long non-coding RNA (HVUL_LNC007920)
Source: RNAcentral
UGUAGGAGUAGUAGAUCACGUUAUUAAGGUUCAUUAAUCAGCAACGUACUACGUUAAUUGGACCACACAUACAGGUACUAGUACUAGUACAGCCCUGAACCACUAAACUAAACCGGCAUUGGUAGUUCAUCGACAUGAAUUAUCAGCAGUACUGUAUGCGGAAAAGUUGGCCAGGCUACAACUGCACGGGCCAAACUCUGCACGCAAACGCAACCGUGCCUGCACCUGAGGCUUAAUUGGCCGUUCUGAAACCAUGCACAUGCAUGCAGCUUUACAUUAACCUCCAUCUCACGUUUCCUCUCUGUUGCUCGGUUUUUCACUCACUCCAACCGGACUGGAGUCGUUUUGUACACUGGAGGAGUACGUUUUUUACGCUUUGUGGUUGCUCCGAG